Molecule: long non-coding RNA, 1271 nt
Organism: Oncorhynchus tshawytscha (Chinook salmon)
Lineage: Eukaryota; Metazoa; Chordata; Actinopteri; Salmoniformes; Salmonidae
Source: Ensembl
CUCUCUAUCUCUCACGCCUCUGUCUUUCUCUCACCUCUUUAUCGCUCACCCCUCUCUGUCUUUCUCUUACCCCUCUCUGUCUUUCUCUCACCCCUUUCUGUCUUUCUCUCACCCCUCUAUCUUUCACCCCUCUCUGUCUUUCUCUCACCCCUCUCUGGAACUUUUAAAGUAGAAAAACAAAACCACUUUUUAUUCUUUAGGCCUUUGCAAGGUCAAUGAUUUAAACAUUAAAUAUUUCUGAUAUCCACAACCUGAUGCUCACAAAAACCUACAUUGGAAACCACAGUGGGUUUGACACAUCUAUAUAUAUAUGUUUUACCUCAACAGUGUAGCUAGAGCAACAGGAAAUGGAAGUUAAGGAAGUAAAGUUGGUUAUUGUAAUUGUUGCGGUACUAUUUGGGGGCAUAAGGAAUGACUACCUUUCACAUUGUCCUAAUUGUGAUCAUCCUUCUCAAAGUCCCUCAUCAGGCUUUCUGUCAUGUAUGGGUGGACCAGGACCCUGUGGUGACCAGCACACUGGGCCAGAAAGUCUCCAUGGGAUGCCGUGUCCUGUCGGACAGCGGGGAGCUGAUCACUGGCUGCAGGGCAGAGUGGUACAUCAACACGGCCACACAUGGCCAGAGGAAGGUGUGGAGGGAGAUGGGUGACUUGCCCCGAUUCAAGGGGAGGUUUCAGAAAACCUAUGACCUGAACACAACAGAUACAAGCAUCCUGAUGAUCUGGUUAGAGCUGCAUGACAUAGGCUACUACUUCUGCACUCUUCAGUGCUGCGUCAAUGGGAAGGACAAGCAGUACCAUGGCAAUGGGACAAGACUCCUCAUCAGCGAGGCUACACACACACCUUAUGGGUUAAUAUUUACCUCAGUUAUCCCAGGUGCAGAAGAGGAGAAUACUUCAGAGAUGCAACUCUUUUAUUUUUAUGCUUUUCUGGCAGUGAAGCUGUUGGUCAUCAUAGUGCUUGGAGGACUCACAAUCAGUUCUUAAAGAUGUAAUUUGGACAAUUUAAAGGUUAAAUAAAAAAAUGUGAAGUAGUUAAUCAAUUCAUUAAUGGAAAAAAGCCCAACAUAUUGUAUGGUCAUUAUAUUAGUCAUGAAUUAGAACUCCUUUCUAGGGAGUUUUUCCUAGCCACUGUGCUUCUACACCUGCAUUGCUUGCUGUUUGGGGUUUUAGGCUGGGUUUCUGUACAGCACUUUGAGAUAUCAGCUGAUGUACGAAGGGCUAUAUAAAUACAUUUGAUUUGAUUUAGUUUGUACUUUUAGUAUUGCACUGAA